AAGUUUAUUUUUUUAAAAAAAAAUAGAUUUAAAAUUUUGACAUUAUUUCAAAAUUUUGAUGUAAAUUUUUAAUAUUUAAUAUUUAAUUUGAAUUUAAAUUAAUAUAUUAUAAAGAUAAUGUUAGUAUAUUAAUUUGAUUACGUUUUUCAUAUCCACCUGAACCAAACACCGAUAAUGGGAAUGAUUUAUUCCGAUUCCGAUUCGAGUGAUAAACCAAACAGAAUUUGGUAAUGAGUCAUUCCGAUUCCGAUUCCAGCUUAUUUUGAUUCCGAUUUCGAUUUCGAUUCCGACUACGAACCAAACAUGCCCUUAAUGUUACCAAGUUUUCGGCCAUUAGAUUUAUCAUUUUAACCAUUUUCAUCAGUUAAAUUAUACUCUUCAACCAACUACUCACUCAAUUCUAGAAGACCACUAUCAUUCUAACAGCACAUUCCUUCAUCCAAGGGCCAAAAAUUUAAUACCACCAAUAACUUGGUAUUGUUAGAAAUAUUUCAAUCUAAUUAUUGUUAUUAUUAUUAUUAGAAUCCGGCUGGGAUACUAUCGAUAGCACUAAGGAUUUGGUGCUAUUGAGUUUUCUACCGUUAAAUUUAACCCUAUGAUUAUUUUUAUCCGUUAGAUUAUACUAUUCAACUAACCACUCACUCAACCCUAGGGGAUUCACAUCAUCUUAACGGCACAUUUCUCAAUCUAAGAACUAAAAAACUAUUAGCACUAAUAGCUUGAUGCUAUUGAUAGUAUUUCAGUCUAUUUUUUAUUAUUAUAUGACAAUUGAGGAUGUAAUUAAUAAGGCAAGAACCAAGAAGGGGAGU
Molecule: long non-coding RNA, 809 nt
Filed under: Ananas comosus (pineapple)
Lineage: Eukaryota; Viridiplantae; Streptophyta; Magnoliopsida; Poales; Bromeliaceae
Description: long non-coding RNA (ACOM_LNC011472)
Source: RNAcentral